UGCCUCUUAGGGUCACACCUGGAGAGUUUCCAGUACUCUAAAAGUCUUGACAACAGGGGGGAAAGUCAAGCAGAGGCCUACCCAUUCCGUUCCUAGCUUGGACAGUGGCUAGUGAUUGGAAAGCAAUCAGCUACAAGU
Small nucleolar RNA from Tachyglossus aculeatus (Australian echidna), 138 nucleotides. The record is from RefSeq and is a predicted model, not a curated record. NCBI's taxonomy places the organism in Eukaryota, Metazoa, Chordata, Mammalia, Monotremata, Tachyglossidae.